Molecule: RNA transcript, 1236 nt
Organism: Exaiptasia diaphana
Lineage: Eukaryota; Metazoa; Cnidaria; Anthozoa; Actiniaria; Aiptasiidae
Exons: 3
Source: RefSeq, a predicted model, not a curated record
GAGCUUAUAGUAAUGAUUUCUGAAAGUUGAAAGACGCUUUGUCUGCAGUCAUGCGAAAAGAAGCAGUUCUGGAUUCCUUGCUAAAUCUCGCUUUACAUUGAAGUUCUAUCAGAAUGAAUUCAAAAACCAGAUACAUACACAAACCAGUGAAUCAUUGAGGGAUGGACGAAGAAGAAAGGAAUUACUGCUGCCUAGUGCUACUACUUUCCAGGGUAGGCCUGGUAAAGUUACGUCAGUUUUUCAUAAAUGAAUGGGAUGCUUUGGGUGGAUUUGAUCCAUGGACUGACUGCAAUCAGAAUGGUACUGACCUGUUGACAAAGUAUACUUCACUUUCUUAUGAAAGAGCCAAAGUCCAGUCAGGUGACACAACGACAUGGGAUUUGUCUCUAUUUGUCAAAGCUCUGUUGAAAUCCAAACCUCCAUUUGUACCCAAAUCUAAUACUACUUUAGUUGCUGGUUUGGAAUGUUUGAAGGAAACAAGAAAUACUCUUUGCCAUACCGGCAGUGGUAAGAUUGAAUUGACAGAGUUUACCAAGCUGUACACUGAUGCUUGCAAUGCAUUACUGCUAAUUGGUGCUUCGUCUGUGGAAUUUAAUGAAGUUAAGAAUGGUAAGCAAAAAAGUUUUGAAAAAUAAAACCAUUCUGAUGUGAUAAUCUGUACUAUUAAUCAUUUAAUUAUAUCCAUUUUGAAAUCACAAGUGAAUCCUGCAAUCUGAUUGGUUCUUAGCAGGUUGAUUUCAGCCUAAAUCGCACCAUUUUUAAUUCUUAAUCGCACUCCUUUGAGGAGCCAAUCACAAUGCAAAACAAGUAAAAGGCAACCAAUCACAAUACAGGAUUGUGUGUGGUUAACCAAUCAAACUACAGCAAAAAGGACACACAAAAAGUACAUUUUUAGGUUUUACAGCAAAUAUUUUUAUGAAAAUAUAUGUGCAAAUUGGAUUAUUUUAGUUCUUACUUACAGUUUUAGAUGACAAUGUACUAUCUCGGUGUAAUUUUUCAUCAUUUGCUACUUCUAAAAACACUUCGAAAGUGUAAUUUACAGUCCAAAAAUGUCAGAAAUGUUCAACAAGGGAUGCAAGUUCAUGCAGCUCAGUUUGCAACUGCAACACAAACAAUUGAAGCCCGUCUAUGAAUGAAGAUUUCCAGGGCUUAUAAAUUAUGCAGACAUCCUUAGGCUUCAGGUCACUAUUAAGAACAAAGACAGCAACAAAACUUUGGAAAAUGUGGAUGAAUGUC